AACGCACAUUGCGCCCUCUGGUAUUCCGGGGGGCAUGCCUGUUCGAGCGUCAUAACACCCCUCAAGCGUAGCUUGGUCUUGGGCCUUUCGUCAUUGGUGACGAGCCUGAAAAUCAGUGGUGGAUGCCCUUAUGGUUCCUGAUGCAGUAGUUGCUUUCUCAUCUGGAAGGCCUAAGGAUGUCUUGCCAAAACAAUUCAAGCAGCGAUGCUUGAAUAUUCUAUAGUUUGACCUCGGAUCAGGUAGGGAUACCCGCUGAACUUAA
RNAcentral lists this unclassified non-coding RNA (262 nucleotides) under uncultured fungus. Its description in RNAcentral is "partial contains 5.8S ribosomal RNA, internal transcribed spacer 2, and large subunit ribosomal RNA". The stretch from base 1 to 52 matches the Rfam family "5.8S ribosomal RNA", at positions 103 to 154 of the family's 154-position model. The record is from RNAcentral. Lineage: Eukaryota; Fungi.